RNAcentral lists this ribosomal RNA (468 nucleotides) under uncultured bacterium. Its description in RNAcentral is "partial 16S ribosomal RNA". It matches the Rfam family "Bacterial small subunit ribosomal RNA", at positions 28 to 507 of the family's 1533-position model. The record is from RNAcentral.
GACGAACGCUGGCGGCGUGCUUAACACAUGCAAGUCGAACGGAAAGGCCCUGCUUUUGUGGGGUGCUCGAGUGGCGAACGGGUGAGUAACACGUGAGUAACCUGCCCUUGACUUUGGGAUAACUUCAGGAAACUGGGGCUAAUACCGGAUAGGAGCUCCUGCUGCAUGGUGGGAGUUGGAAAGUUUCGGCGGUUGGGGAUGGACUCGCGGCUUAUCAGCUUGUUGGUGGGGUAGUGGCUUACCAAGGCUUUGACGGGUAGCCGGCCUGAGAGGGUGACCGGCUACAUUGGGACUGAGAUACGGCCCAGACUCCUACGGGAGGCAGCAGUGGGGAAUAUUGCACAAUGGGCGGAAGCCUGAUGCAGCAACGCCGCGUGCGGGAUGACGGCCUUCGGGUUGUAAACCGCUUUCGCCUGUGACGAAGCGUGAGUGACGGUAAUGGGUAAAGAAGCACCGGCUAACUACGUG